Molecule: non-coding RNA, 82 nt
Organism: Solanum lycopersicum (tomato)
Lineage: Eukaryota; Viridiplantae; Streptophyta; Magnoliopsida; Solanales; Solanaceae
Source: Rfam
AUUGCAAUGAUGAUAGAACAGACAGGGACAUCAGCACCCUCUGGGGAUGAUGAUUUGUCGAUGGGAAUCUCUCUGAUGCUUG